AACGCGCGUUAGUACUCUAGCUAAAUUGCGUUCGUUGAAUAUGAGAAGAUCGGUUUCCUUUGUUGAUCGUCUGGAGCUGCAGCUGAAAGGUAACGUCUUCUCGCAGGCCCUUUGUUUAGGCGAUGUGGACAACGACGGAAAAAGUGAAUUGGUUGUUGGCAAUGUUCAUGGUGAUUUGGCUGUGUUUAAGAAGGGAGAGAGGACUAGACCUUGGAGAUCAUGUCACAACCUUGGAUCUAUUGCUUGUGUUGGAGUUGCAGAUCUCUGUCAGAUUGGACAGAAUGUGCUGGUAUGUGUGAGUGCUGAAGGCUAUUGCCAUAUUUUCUACUUUCAGGAGAAGAAAGAGUUUGAGGAUCUUGUCAAUGAUAUGAAGCCAACAUGCACCCAGAGGAUUCCUGCUAACAUAAGAGUUCUUUUGUUGGAUAACAUUAUGAGUGAUGGAACUUGCCAUCUUGUCGUUGGGUACACUGAUCGUGUGGUUAGAGCCUAUCGAUGGAUUAAGUCCGAGAGUCAGUCAUCAUCAUUGUCUGGUUCUCUCGUUGCUGUCAAGAAAUGGAAUCUUGAAGGACAGGUUGGGUCUCUGUCACUUACUGACAUGCCAGAUGGUUCACGCUACCUUCUUGUUGCCCAACCAGGUGGGAAUUUUGUCUACUUACAAGUGGACUAUGGAGCAUCAACGGAUAGCCUAGAUGAUUCCGAUGGGCAAGCAACAGCAAAAAGUAAACCAAUUCCAAUGGGCCACAGAAGAGUCUCUUCAAACACAUCUGAACUGGAUGCUGUGUUUGCCAGCAGCCCUCAUAGCAGCAGACCGAUUGGAAGCAGUGCUAGUGCAGGAAUAUCAACCGAAGUGCUGGGUCUCAUAAAAUGCAAAGAAGAAGGCUUGACAAGACAGCAGAAUCUAAUAGCUGUUUCGACACUGGAUGGCUCGCUGCAGCUUUUGGAGGGUAGCAAACUGUUAUGGGAGUUACAUGUUGACCAUCAGCUAUUUUCUCUUGCUAAACUUGACAUGACGAAUGAUGGCAAUGAAGAAGUCAUUGCAUGCGCAUGGGAUGGUCUGACAUAUAUUGUUGACAGACACCGCAAUGUUGUUCGAUAUCAGUUUGAAGAGAAUGUGGCUGCAUUUUGUGCAGGAAACUACUGUGUUGAAGCCCACGAUGUUCCAUGCCUUGUGUAUGCUACAUUUUCUGGGAGAAUCUAUGUGUAUUAUAAUAUCACUUUGCCGAGAAUUGUUGUAAGCUCAUUAGCAUCUGUGAUAGAAGAAGAGCUGGAGAAGACCAAUAUUAGGAAGGAAUAGUAAGAGGCACAUCACUGCACACAAAAAUUGAUGAGUUUCUUUACUAGUUUCCUCGACUCAAGAAGAAAAUAGAUGAUGAAGUAGGACUAUCACGUCGUAAUCUUGUCAGUUGGUGUCUCUAUGGUCGCCAAAUCGAGGGCAAAAAGCAAGGAGAAGAAACGAACAAGUAAACGCUAAAUACAAUAUCUGAAUGCACGCAAUUUUUUACGAAUCGUACAGUAAAUUACUGGGAUUAACAAUAUCAUUCAAAUGCUGUACAUACACAAUGGUUACAUCCAGUCAUUUAAAUGUCUGUCAAUUCAUACAUUUGGAAGGGAGUAAGGUACUAGAAAAACAUGGCACAAUAAUAUCAAUAGUUGCUAAUACAAUAGUCAGGAGACCAUUUAAGAAUUUAUCUGAAAAUCACUAGUCAGAGAGCCAUUCAAUCUUUGGAAAAGACACAACUGCCAGGUUUAGUGCUGUUUCAUCAUCCAGGCAUUAUGGCAACACGAUAAGCCACAGUCAUAAUACUGUACGUUCCUAAUCAAUGCAGUGGCUGUGGUCUCACAACUACACUAUGGCACAGGCAGUACAUGUAAUGAAAUAAUGAAAAUAAAUGUUUAAAUUAUUAUAAUGCAAGGUUGCCCUAAUGCCAGACUAUUGUUGGAGAUCAAGAGCAAUUGAUAUUUCGUUUAAAGGUAGGUGUGU
Molecule: RNA transcript, 1981 nt
Organism: Corticium candelabrum
Lineage: Eukaryota; Metazoa; Porifera; Homoscleromorpha; Homosclerophorida; Plakinidae
Gene name: KICSTOR complex protein ITFG2-like
Exons: 15
Source: RefSeq, a predicted model, not a curated record